RNAcentral lists this transfer RNA (19 nucleotides) under Kinixys zombensis domerguei. RNAcentral's name for it is "partial transfer RNA-Thr". The record is from RNAcentral. Lineage: Eukaryota; Metazoa; Chordata; Testudines; Testudinidae.
AUUCUAGUAGCUUAAAACC